CGUUGCCGUCGAUAUCCGACUGUGAAGAAUUUUGGGUCGGAAAGUACAUCCCUUUAAUUCUUCUUUCACAUGUUCCGCACGUAACCGUUCUCUGACUGCUUCUGUGGCCUGAGCUGCGAUAGGACAUCCACAUCGCCGACGCACGAUUCUGGGUGUAUACGUGGCAAAUCUGAGUAAGAACUCCAUGCAUGUUGGCUUGGAACAUUUGGAAUUGUCGCCAUUUUUUCUUUGGAACGCAGAAAUCCAAGCCGACAAAGUGUCCCUUGGGGACUAAUCUGAAGCUGUCACGAAUCCGUGGCGGUCAAGGUACCAGUCAGUGUCUGUUUGCAUCGAACGACAUUCGUCUGUCUACUACCUUCUAACUGCAUGCGAUCUCGCGGGCAGUGCAUAGAUAAAAGAACUGCAAAGCCUUAUCUGGAAACACUUUUGAUGUUUGACAUGCCUGUGUUUCUGUUCUAUGGUUUCGUCCUCGGGUGUGAAAACGGUUCAGACAACAAGGAACUCAGUGGACCCGUUUCGGCAUCUCGUGGACGGCGGGGGAUCUUGGAUGCAACAAGACAAGGAUAGCCAUUCUGCAGAAAUGAUUGUUAGAUGUGUACACUUCGUUUCUCGUGCGUAUCUUCGGAAUAGCCAGUGGCGUUCAGGAAGAAGACCUACCACGAGCGACAAGGCGAUCGGGAAGACUUAGGGGGCCUUGCUCGCUCUGCGCCAUGCGUUCCCUGUGCUUCUUCGCAAUCGCGUCGCUCAGUGGAUUAAUUUGAGGAUGAAACGUCACGCCAUCAAUGGCAUUAGUGAGCGCAUCAGCGAAUACUGACGAACACAAACAACUCGGAGAAGGAC
This 840-nucleotide long non-coding RNA is filed under the name Toxoplasma gondii VEG. Lineage: Eukaryota; Apicomplexa; Conoidasida; Eucoccidiorida; Sarcocystidae. The record is from RNAcentral.